GUGGGCAAGAGGGAGGCUGAUGAAGAAGCAGAGAAGACCUGAUUCAUCAAGUAUCAAUUAAUUCUGGUGAUUCUUACCUGGUUGGCCAUGCAUGCACAACACAAGACACUUCAAUCUGACACUCUUUUAAUGUUUGACGUCAGGCAAAAUGUCUUCAGCCACCGUAGGACGGAGAGCCGCUGGUUGACAUCGGACUGCAGUGUCUAAUGGACAAGACACUACCAUGGUACACAUGAGUACAUGGAGGAGCUGUGGGACCUGGCAUAAUGGUGAUACGUCAACAGUUUCAGUGUAAACAAAGUAGAUGGUGAUACUUGACCAUUCUCCCAUCUACUGUACAUUGACAUGGAGACGGUCAGCAGCUUCAAGUUCCUGGGAACCCUGAUAUCCUUUUCUGCCCUCAGUUACUUCACUCAAAGUCCCUCUUGUGCUUUUCCACUACCCUUAAACUUGCUGCACCACGACCUAUGUACCAACUACAGUGUCGUUUAUUGCCAUUGCACC
Molecule: long non-coding RNA, 504 nt
Organism: Oncorhynchus keta (chum salmon)
Lineage: Eukaryota; Metazoa; Chordata; Actinopteri; Salmoniformes; Salmonidae
Exons: 3
Source: RefSeq, a predicted model, not a curated record